GGACUACCGGGGUUUCUAAUCCUGUUUGCUCCCCCGGCUUUCGCGACUCAGCGUCAAUAACGGUCCAGUCACCUGCUUUCGCCUUCGGUGUUCCUCCUGAUAUCUACGCAUUUCACCGCUACACCAGGAAUUCCAGUGACCUCUCCCGUAUUCAAGUCCGGCAGUAUCCAUUGGCCUCCCCGGGUUAAGCCCGGGGCUUUCACAACAGACUCACCGAACCGCCUGCUCGCGCUUUACGCCUAGUAAUUCCGAGUAACGCUCGCCACCUUCGUCUUACCGCGGCUGCUGGCAC
Molecule: ribosomal RNA, 292 nt
Filed under: uncultured bacterium
Lineage: Bacteria
Description: partial 16S ribosomal RNA
Source: RNAcentral